AGUGAACGCUGGCGGUAGGCCUAACACAUGCAAGUCGAACGGCAGCACAGUAAGAGCUUGCUCUUACGGGUGGCGAGUGGCGGACGGGUGAGGAAUACAUCGGAAUCUACUUUUUCGUGGGGGAUAACGUAGGGAAACUUACUCUCAUACCGCAUACGCCCUACGGGUGAAAGCAUGGGAUCUUCGGACCUUGCGCGAUUGAAUGAGCGGAUGUCGGGUUUGCUAGUUGGCGGGGUAAAGGCCCACCAAGGCGACGAUCCGUAGCUGGUCUGAGAGACUGAUCGGCCACACUGGAACUGAGACACGGUCCAGACUCCUACGGGACGCAGCAGUGGGGAAUAGUGGACAAAGGGCGCAAGCCUGAUCCAGCGAUACCGCGUGGGUGAAGAAGGCCUUCGGGUUGUAAAGCCCUUUUGUUGGGAAAGAAAAGCAGCAGGUUAAUACCACGCUGUUCUGACGGUACCCAAUGAAUAAGCACCGGCUAACUUCGUG
Molecule: ribosomal RNA, 492 nt
Filed under: uncultured bacterium
Lineage: Bacteria
Description: partial 16S ribosomal RNA
Rfam family: Bacterial small subunit ribosomal RNA
Source: RNAcentral